This is a non-coding RNA of Equus caballus (horse), 236 nucleotides long. Lineage: Eukaryota; Metazoa; Chordata; Mammalia; Perissodactyla; Equidae. The record is from RefSeq and is a predicted model, not a curated record.
GGUCAUUUCUGUGUCCCGUAAAGAGAACGGCUGCUGCUUGAUGCCAGCUUUCCCAUUAUUGCCCGCUGUUUGGGGGCUCCGCAGACAUGGCCCAAGGAGGAGGGCAGGGGGCUAAUUAUCUUCCUCAAUCCUGUGACAAAAAGAAUUGGAGGUGACAGGAAAAGCAAGAACAAUUUGGUUCUCAGUGAAUUCCCAAUGAAUGAUUGCUAAACUACAAAAAAAAAAAAAAAGACAAA